Molecule: ribosomal RNA, 440 nt
Filed under: uncultured bacterium
Lineage: Bacteria
Description: partial 16S ribosomal RNA
Rfam family: Bacterial small subunit ribosomal RNA
Source: RNAcentral
CCUACGGGGGGCAGCAGUGGGGGAUAUUGCACAAUGGGGGGAACCCUGAUGCAGCGACGCCGCGUGGGUGAAGGAGCGUUUCGGCGCGUAAAGCCCUAUCGGCAGGGAAGAAGAUGACGGUACCUUACCAAGAAGCCCCGGCUAACUACGUGACAGCAGCCGCGGUAAUACGGAGGGGGCAAGCGUUAUCCGGAUUUACUGGGUGUAAGGGGGGCGCAGACGGGAAUGCAAGCCAGGAGUGAAAGCCCGGGGCCCAACCCCGGGACUGCUCUUGGAACUGGAUGGCUGGAGUACAGGAGGGGCAGGCGGAAUUCGUGGUGUAGCGGUGAAAUGCGUAGAUAUUAGGAGGAACCCCGAUGGCGAAGGCGGCCUGCUGGACUGUGACUGACGUUGAGGCCCGAAGGCGUGGGGAGCAAACAGGAUUAGAUACCCGAGUAGUC